UCUUCAUUCCGCGUGCUCUCUCACCGGUCUCAGAAGCGAGAGGGCACGCGGAAUGAAGAGA
Non-coding RNA from Pristionchus pacificus, 61 nucleotides. The record is from Rfam. Lineage: Eukaryota; Metazoa; Nematoda; Chromadorea; Rhabditida; Neodiplogasteridae.